GGCCAACUCAUCAAAUCAUUUGUAGUUCAUUGUCACUGUGAAUACAGAAAAUUCAACUGAUUAGAUAUUUUCUCCUUUCUAUCUACAGCAAAGACUACCUGGGAUAAAAAACAAUGCAAUACACUUGUCAUUAAUGACUCUUAUGAGCCAAGUUACUAAAUCUGGGAUUCUCCCGUUCCUCCAAAUCGCUACAGCAGGUAGAUUCUUCGAUUCCUUCAAAUCUGAAAUUCAUUGAAUUGUUUCUCUAGUCUC
This 252-nucleotide unclassified non-coding RNA is filed under the name Hevea brasiliensis (rubber tree). Lineage: Eukaryota; Viridiplantae; Streptophyta; Magnoliopsida; Malpighiales; Euphorbiaceae. The record is from RNAcentral.